AGCUCUAUAUAUAACAGCCAGAAUUGCACCAAUGCAUUGAAAAUCAAGGAUAGGCAAGAUAAGAUUGAAUUGCCACAGACAACGAUUUAAGAGUAUGAAUAGAGCAAACGUCAUUGCAACCUUAGUAACUGUAUCGACAGUUAUCCAACAAGGCUUAACCAUUCCGGCUAUAGGCUUCAGCGCGGUUUUAAGCAACGAUACUCACUUGGGCAAUGAUGAUGCAAUAAAAUAUAACAAUGUCCUUACAAACUUGGGAAACGGAUAUGACAAGUGGUGUGGACACUUUGUGGUACCUACAAAAGGGCUUUACGUUUUUAGUUGCACAGUAAUGGCAACGAAUGCAAAUACAAUAACUCUCGGAAUCAUAAAAAACGGUCAGAGUGUUUUACCAGUGUCAUCGGCUAACACACCUUGGGAAAGUAGUACAAGAAUUGUGGUACUGUCAAUGGAUAAAGGAGAUAGGGUCUGGGUGAGACGUCUUGCGCACGACCGAAAUAUUCAGGGCCACUACAACUCCUUUUCAGGAUACCUUAUUUCAACAGAAACAUAAGGGAACCGAGCUUGGUAUUUAUUACGUUUGUGUUUAUUAUUUAUUAUAAUAAACAGAAUA
This is a long non-coding RNA of Magallana angulata, 610 nucleotides long. RefSeq lists it as uncharacterized. The record is from RefSeq and is a predicted model, not a curated record. Lineage: Eukaryota; Metazoa; Mollusca; Bivalvia; Ostreida; Ostreidae. The transcript has 3 exons.